AGAAUCAACGCUGGCGGCGUGCCUAACACAUGCAAGUCGAACGAGAAAGUGGAGCAAUCCAUGAGUAAAGUGGCGACCGGGUGAGUAACACGUGACUAACCUACCUUCGAGUGGGGGAUAACAUCGGGAAACCGAUGCUAAUACCGCAUAACAUCGCAAGAUCAAAGCAGCAAUGCGCUGGAAGAGGGGGUCGCGGCUGAUUAGCUAGUUGGCGGGGUAACGCCCACCAAGGCGAAGAUCGGUAGCCGGCCUGAGAGGGCGCACGGCCACACUGGAACUGAAACACGGUCCAGACUCCUACGGGAGGCAGCAGUGGGGAAUUUUGCGCAAUGGGGGAAACCCUGACGCAGCAACGCCGCGUGGAGGAUGAAGCCCCUUGGGGCGUAAACUCCUUUCGACCAAGACGAUAAUGACGGUACUGGUGGAAGAAGCACCGGCUAACUCUGCGCCAGCAGCCGC
Molecule: ribosomal RNA, 459 nt
Filed under: uncultured bacterium
Lineage: Bacteria
Description: SSU rRNA
Rfam family: Bacterial small subunit ribosomal RNA
Source: RNAcentral